Molecule: ribosomal RNA, 387 nt
Filed under: uncultured marine stramenopile
Lineage: Eukaryota
Description: partial small subunit ribosomal RNA
Rfam family: Eukaryotic small subunit ribosomal RNA
Source: RNAcentral
GCUUGUCUCAAAGAUUAAGCCAUGCAUGUCUAAGUAUAGUACCUUAUACUGCGAAACUGCGAAUGGCUCAUUAAAUCAGUUAUAAUUCAUUUGAUGGUACUUACUACUCGGAUAACCGUAGUAAUUCUAGAGCUAAUACAUGCGCCAAGUCCCGUCUUACGUCGGGAUGUAUUUAUUAGAUUUCAAUCAACACUUUUUGCUGACUCAUGAUAACUUAGCGGAUCGCAGAGGCCUCGCGCCGGCGACAAAUCAUUCAAGUUUCUGCCCUAUCAGCUUUCGAUGGUAGUGUAUUGGACUACCAUGGCAUUCACGGGUAACGGAGGAUUAGGGUUCGAUUCCGGAGAGGGAGCCUGAGAAAUGGCUACCACAUCCAAGGAAGGCAGCAGG